RNAcentral lists this ribosomal RNA (253 nucleotides) under uncultured bacterium. Its description in RNAcentral is "partial 16S ribosomal RNA". It matches the Rfam family "Bacterial small subunit ribosomal RNA", at positions 524 to 776 of the family's 1533-position model. The record is from RNAcentral.
UACGUAGGGUGCAAGCGUUAAUCGGAAUUACUGGGAGUAAAGCGUGCGCAGGCGGUCUUGUAAGUCUGACGUGAAAUCCCCGGGCUCAACCUGGGAAUUGCGUUGGAGACUGCAAGGCUAGAAUCUGGCAGAGGGGGGUAGAAUUCCACGUGUAGCAGUGAAAUGCGUAGAGAUGUGGAGGAACACCGAUGGCGAAGGCAGCCCCCUGGGUCAAGAUUGACGCUCAUGCACGAAAGCGUGGGGAGCAAACAGG